Molecule: long non-coding RNA, 974 nt
Filed under: Olea europaea subsp. europaea
Lineage: Eukaryota; Viridiplantae; Streptophyta; Magnoliopsida; Lamiales; Oleaceae
Source: RNAcentral
CUGUCAUCCAACACACUGUAUGCUAAGUUACUAAAAAUCAAACUCUUUAACAUAUUGCUAAUAUAACAGUUUAUUGUAAAUCUUAAGUGACAGAAAAAAAAAAAAAAAAAAAAGUUACCCUAUCUUUGUCGACAAACAUUUUGGAGCUCUUUUAUUUGUGCAAAUUAGCCACUAAUACAAAUUUUAGGCCCCCUAAUUAAGACCCUUUUUGUUACGUCACAUAAAAAGGAUAUAUUUGGAGGAUUUAGGGUGUCCUCUUCAUGGAUUUGGUGCACGGGCCCCUACACCAUGCCUGAUGAUUGGAGAUAGCAUAUCUAUGAUCAGGUUUCCCUUUCAUAUUGGAAAAGUCACAAGAGCCAAACUUUAUAUUGAUUACACACAAAAAAAAAAAAAAAAAAAAUACAAUGUAGCCAUUUAAUAUACCGUACUGCUGUAUUAAAAUUCCAAUAAUUCAAACACAUACAUACAAACAAUACAUUCGCACAACGCCACACAUGCAUGGAUAAAAGGUACAUGUUUUACCAGAGGAAUUCGGAGGUCACAGGACUAUUAGAUGAGCACCACAAACACCAGAUUUCGAUUUCGAUUUCGGGUCCGGUAAAACGCAGAUUCUGAACCAAUCAAAGAAUUCGAAUCUAUGAUGAACGUUUAUACAAAAUUUCCAAUUUAUUUGCUAUAGAUAAGAAGAAGACGAACCAAUAACCAGAACACCACUACCUUUAAUCGAGGUACAUGUGGGCAACGCGGGUUUUGCCUUUAUCUGGUUGUUUCUCGCCUCUCGCAAUCGGGACAAAGGGGAGGGAAGACAGGUUAUGGGUAGGAAAUAAGGUAGUCGGUAUUUAAAAAAAAAAAAAAUGAAGCCCUUAGAUUUUUGGGCCUGAGGCAGGGGCCCUUGCCUCGGGCCCAAAACCGGCCCUCAACCAUCGAUGAUCGUUGAUCUGUAGCCAUCCAACGAUCGCCACCUUGAAUACCCA